RNAcentral lists this ribosomal RNA (461 nucleotides) under uncultured Syntrophus sp. RNAcentral describes it as "bacterial SSU rRNA". It matches the Rfam family "Bacterial small subunit ribosomal RNA", at positions 920 to 1382 of the family's 1533-position model. Lineage: Bacteria; Pseudomonadati; Thermodesulfobacteriota; Syntrophia; Syntrophales; Syntrophaceae. The record is from RNAcentral.
CCCGCACAAGCGGUGGAGCAUGUGGUUAAUUCGAUGCAACGCGAAGAACUUACCUGGGCUUGACAUCCCGAGAAUCCCCUGGAAACAGGGGAGUGCCCUUCGGGGAGCUCGGAGACAGGUGCUGCAUGGCUGUCGUCAGCUCGUGUCGUGAGAUGUUGGGUUAAGUCCCGCAACGAGCGCAACCCUUGUCUUUAAUUGCCAUCAUUGAGUUGGGCACUUUAAAGAGACUGCCGGUGUUAAACCGGAGGAAGGUGGGGAUGACGUCAAGUCCUCAUGGCCUUUAUGCCCAGGGCUACACACGUGCUACAAUGGGUGGUACAAAGAGAGGCAAGCUCGCGAGAGUAAGCAAAUCUCAAAAAGCCAUCCUCAGUUCGGAUUGGAGUCUGCAACUCGACCCCAUGAAGUCGGAAUCGCUAGUAAUCGCGGAUCAGCACGCCGCGGUGAAUACGUUCCCGGGCCUU